RNAcentral lists this ribosomal RNA (116 nucleotides) under Enterococcus faecium. RNAcentral describes it as "partial 16S ribosomal RNA". It matches the Rfam family "Bacterial small subunit ribosomal RNA", at positions 1426 to 1533 of the family's 1533-position model. Lineage: Bacteria; Bacillati; Bacillota; Bacilli; Lactobacillales; Enterococcaceae. The record is from RNAcentral.
GUCGGUGAGGUAACCUUUUGGAGCCAGCCGCCUAAGGUGGGAUAGAUGAUUGGGGUGAAGUCGUAACAAGGUAGCCGUAUCGGAAGGUGCGGCUGGAUCACCUCCUUUCUAAGGAA